RNAcentral lists this ribosomal RNA (578 nucleotides) under Fusarium oxysporum f. sp. ciceris. RNAcentral describes it as "eukaryotic LSU rRNA". It matches the Rfam family "Eukaryotic large subunit ribosomal RNA", at positions 70 to 664 of the family's 3401-position model. Lineage: Eukaryota; Fungi; Ascomycota; Sordariomycetes; Hypocreales; Nectriaceae. The record is from RNAcentral.
GGGUAUUGCCUAGUACGGCGAGUGAAGCGGCAACAGCUCAAAUUUGAAAUCUGGCUCUCGGGCCCGAGUUGUAAUUUGUAGAGGAUACUUUUGAUGCGGUGCCUUCCGAGUUCCCUGGAACGGGACGCCAUAGAGGGUGAGAGCCCCGUCUGGUUGGAUGCCAAAUCUCUGUAAAGUUCCUUCAACGAGUCGAGUAGUUUGGGAAUGCUGCUCUAAAUGGGAGGUAUAUGUCUUCUAAAGCUAAAUACCGGCCAGAGACCGAUAGCGCACAAGUAGAGUGAUCGAAAGAUGAAAAGCACUUUGAAAAGAGAGUUAAAAAGUACGUGAAAUUGUUGAAAGGGAAGCGUUUAUGACCAGACUUGGGCUUGGUUAAUCAUCUGGGGUUCUCCCCAGUGCACUUUUCCAGUCCAGGCCAGCAUCAGUUUUCCCCGGGGGAUAAAGGCGGCGGGAAUGUGGCUCUCUUCGGGGAGUGUUAUAGCCCACCGUGUAAUACCCUGGGGGGGACUGAGGUUCGCGCAUCUGCAAGGAUGCUGGCGUAAUGGUCAUCAACGACCCGUCUUGAACCACGGGGACCCACA